Molecule: long non-coding RNA, 710 nt
Filed under: Salmo salar (Atlantic salmon)
Lineage: Eukaryota; Metazoa; Chordata; Actinopteri; Salmoniformes; Salmonidae
Description: lncRNA (ENSSSAG00000106364.1, ENSSSAG00000109320.1)
Source: RNAcentral
GUGUGUAUUUUACAUUUAAUGUAGCCCUCAAAAUACCACCGAAUGUAUUUUUUUAAUUCACAGAUAUUCUCAGAAAAUGUGUGUAUUUUCGUGGUGGUCUCUUCAAUGGCUGGGUUGGAUGGCAACCUGGUCUCAGAGAAAUGUUAAAUGGCAGACAUGGAAUUCGCCUUUGUUAUUGCCGAUGAAGUGGAUGCCAUCGAAAUUCCACUUCUCCUACACGAAGCUGAACAUGAACAACACGGUCCAAGACAUGCAUAUCUUAAUAAGGAAAUUACAUACCAGCCCAAACUCUUUCUAACAUUCACAAGACUUGUUUUGUAUGUUUGUGAUGGUUUUCUCAAAAUAUAACCAGGUAGUAGUGAGUGCAUAGGCUACUAGAAUGAGAGGUGUUUUUGCAGCAUAUGGGAUUUGCCGCAUAUGGGUUUGCCAUUACUUCAUGCCCUUGCACCUUCCUCAUUAUUAUUUGUGAUUGUGCAACAUGGAAUUGUAACAGUCCACAAAUAUUCUUACUGUACGGUAAUUGAUUGCAUGUCAGCAUCACUACAGCCGGCAGUAAUUUUUAACCUUUAUGUAGCUUUUGUCAGUAAACAUGUGAAGAACAGAAUUUGAUUCAAUCACAUGUACAAAACACUCACUGUACAGAAAAGGAUUAGACUAUACAUGUACAUCAGGUCACAUAAAUUACUGGUUAAACAAUAUGAAAAGGAUUA